Long non-coding RNA from Apis cerana (Asiatic honeybee), 2328 nucleotides. RefSeq lists it as uncharacterized. NCBI's taxonomy places the organism in Eukaryota, Metazoa, Arthropoda, Insecta, Hymenoptera, Apidae. The record is from RefSeq and is a predicted model, not a curated record.
GCCAUGGUAACGCUGUCUCUUUUCUUACGUAACCAUAUUAAGGCACCUUGUGGCGACUAGGUUCGUUGAAACGUCACACACAACGACAUCGACAUCGUAGCGUUUGUCGUCUUGGCCGAUCGAGUUCGCUUAUGGACAAUGGGAACUAUACGAUUUUCUUUUUUGAUUCUCUUAAUCAUCCGCGAGGCGCCACGAUCGCCUUGCUGAAAAUGGCCGCGCGAUGUCUGGUCGUGUCGUGAAAGUUGUGGAUUCACUUAUGUUAACAAUUACGUAACAAAUUGUCGCGUGCACAUGCGUUAAUCUGCGAGAUCAGCUCCUUGGUUGUAAUAGUCCCGUUGAAGAGAUUCGAUUAAAUAAACGUGGAUUAGACUUGCUUUCACGUUAACCUCUUGACACUUUCACUGCACGUGUAUUAUGCAUGGCAUGUUUUAAAAGUUGAGUUUCUAAAUGGAUAUAUCGUAAUAUAACAUCGAAAAAAUUAUGAUGUGUUGUUUUUCAAUAUAUAAGGAAAACGAAUUUCAUUUAAUUAUUUCUCGCAGAAGAUACAAUAAUAAAAUUAUAACAUGAAUAGGAAGCUUUAAUUAUUUUUUCUCUAUUCGACGUUUAUAUUACUCGGCGUUUAUUUUUGCAGUAUUUUGAAUGAAUUAUCGCAAAGGUGAAUUAAAGUUGUUAAUAUCAUAGAUUAAACUUCAAAGUUAUGUAUGCAGGUAUUAAUAAUAGAAUAAUGAGAUAUACAUCUUUAAUUAUCAAAUUGGAUCUGUCAAAAAUAACUAAUUAAAUUUCUUUCAGAGUUGGAACAACAAUCUUCUUCAACAAACAAUAAACUGUUCUUCGUAACAAUUAAUUCUCUCCACAAGGAAUCGAAAAAGGAAAGAAAAGAAUCGAACAAAUAAGCUCUUCAAGUUACAAGAACAAUCGUGGCGCCUGUUCGUGUACGAAUCUAUCGAAACCGGAAACAGACCAAUCACAAUGCCGAAAAACGAUGUUCCAGGGACGAGGAAUGAGGAUCUCGUGUUCAAACCCUUUUAAUACAUCAACGUCCGUCAAACGUGAAAAGGCGGAAGAGUUUGGCCGCCUUGGCAUCCUGCGAAACCGGAGGUCCUCGACCGUCAAAGUAGACAAAGUGAACACGCGCGAAAACCGGUGAUUCGCACGUCCCUCGAAUGAACGAAUCGCUCGAGUCCCCGUGGCUUCUUAUUCCACGGUGGUCCUCGCACGGAAUCCUGAGUUCAAUGCCUCUUUGAUGAGCGUUCCCUUCUCCUUCGGCUCCGCGGCCAUCGUCGCGAACAGUCCACCUUUUCUCCCUACCCAUCCGUUCCCAUACGAUCCAUCUAUCGACCGAUCGAUUCGGAUCGAAUUCGUGAUCCGGUCGAUGAUCGAACACGAAUUCUUAUUUGCAUUUUUUUUUUUUCGUUUUCGUCUUUGAUCCGAAUAGGAAUUUGAAUGUGCAUUCGGUUUACUCUGUUCGCCUUCUUCGUUUUUAUGGUAUUUUCUUUUUUCGUUAAUUUUUCUUCCUGUUGAUAGAGAAUCACGCGUGCUCGUAGGUGAAACUGCGUCGAAUAACUUCCCGUUGAUAAUCAUCGUGAGAGAAGGUGGGGCAAAUUUAUGUGCGUUGGCUCGAACUGGCUGCGUGCAGGUGGAAAAUCAGCGAGCCUCGACGAUAGCGUGCAUUAUAUAACACUAAGGCUAUUUUCAAGUGUCGAAGAAAUUUAUACGGGAACUAUUUUUGUCAUCGGAUGGGAAUUGGCGAUCGUUGACGGCUGAAUUCUGUUCCUUUUCUCCUAUUUAAAUAUUUAUUUGAAUAAUUAUCAGGAAGAUGAAGUAAAAUUUGAUGAGAUUCAGGGAAGAAAUUGUGCAAUCGAUAUAUUAUAUUUAUGAUUUAUGGAAAAUUUUCUAAAUAUUUAUAAUUUUUCAAUUUUUCUACUUUAUCCGAUUUUAUUGUAAUAGCGUGAAAUAUUUGUGAAACGAAUUCAUGAGAUAUUUGAGGAGAGAAAUGAUCAGUUUAACGAGAAUUUAUUUGACGAAUUUAUUUAUUCUGAACUUGUCAGAACGUUAAUUGAUCAGAAAACUCAUCCACUGUAACCAAAGUUUUAAUCACAGCUACGUAUAACAUCUAUAUUUUAAUUGCUUCUUUUACAUUACAAAUAAUAUUAAAGAUACAUAAGCAGCUCAUAAAACUGCAAUCUACAUAUAACAUUGAAAGCUACCAACCGAAUCUUAUUUAACAAUACCAUGUUAAAGAAUCAUGAAAUUAUAAAAUACAUAAAUUAUAUUUCCAUAAUGUAAUUAAUCUCAGUUCACAGAUGUUACAAUAAAUUUACAAAUAUA